AUGCAAGAGACGUGGUUGCGGCUCCACGGCAUUCCCAGGGUGCAUCGUCGUGAGGAGCGCCUGAUGGAAGGGCUGAAGAUGCUAGGUCGUCCUAUUGUGGUGGAUGAGAUCUCUCUCAUCCGGUUGGGGCCAGUGAGAGUGAAGCUGGCAUGCAAAUCACCGGACAAACUUAAUGGCUUUGUGGAGGUGCGGUUUAAUGGUGAAGGAUACCAAAUUAAGGUGGAGGUGGAGCGGCUCCCAAAACAAACUGGUGAGGGCGGCUCCAGUGGCGCUGGCCCUUCUGAAAAACAACCCCCUUCCUCCUCUGACAGAGUUGGUCGGCCGCGGGAAGCAGGGAAUGGAUCCAAGCCACUUGGGGGCGGCAAGGACUCGGCAAAGCAGCCGUCGGGCGGGGCGCUCGGGUCUGCGGAGCCCAAAGAUGUGGAUAUGGGAGGCCAAGAUGAGGAGCUCGACGACAGUAUCCACGUCACCUCUAUUGAUACAGAGACAUGGGACAAGCUCGGGACGCUGACUAGGGGCACGAUGGCUGUGACGACACAGGAUACAACGGUCAGCCUCCCUCCGCUGGCCCGGACCCUCGCUGGCUCCUUUGACGAGUACGGGUCUCAACAUGGGGCGCCGUCCUUGGCUCCCAUGGAGGUGGAAGUGUACUCUGGCGACACUGGGGCUGCGGCCCCUCGGUCCUUGCUGGCCACUGGUGGGGUGGAUACUGGCUGUGUGCUCAAUGAAGACUCUGCUCCCGCUCCAUCCUCGGGGCGCCGGAGCUCUGGUGGUUUGGUUAGACCUCCCAAGAAGAUGGCGGGCAGGAAACUGGCAUCUAAGGCGGGUGCGGUGAUGGUGGCAGAGCAGAAUCGGGGUGAUCUGGGCGUGGUGCUGGCGUCGGUGGGUGCGGGUGCGAAGGCCAAGCGCUCCAAGGUGACUCCUGUGGCGCUACGAGCCCCCAGCAUGCGUGCCAAGGCCAAGCUGGGCGACAUGUCUUCUCUGGAGAGCGCCAAGCUUCGUACCACAGACAAGAACCUAGAGGUCUCAGACCCGGACUCCGUUGGGGAAACCGCGUGA
RNAcentral lists this ribosomal RNA (1059 nucleotides) under Triticum aestivum (bread wheat). RNAcentral's name for it is "partial small subunit ribosomal RNA". The record is from RNAcentral. Lineage: Eukaryota; Viridiplantae; Streptophyta; Magnoliopsida; Poales; Poaceae.